AUAAACUAAAUUUGAAGAAUGUUGAGGGUUUGCCUCUGUGAUGUAUUUCUUUUAUCUAUGAACAUAAAUUACAGAGGGUCUCAAGAUUACAUAUAUACAUCUAAUCUAUAUUGUUAUAAAUAUACAUAAUUGUUUUUGCUAACAUUUUUUCUUUUCUGAAAACUCAUGUAGCAGCAGAAAUGCAAGUCUUUCAAAUGCUUUUGGGAAGACUGUGUAAAGAAAUGGCUGUCCCUUGUUCAAAGACAUCAAACAUUUCUAUGCAAGAUGUCUUAUUUCGCCAGUAGUAAUAUGCUCCCAUCAUAGGAAAAUUGGCUGUCUACAUUUAAAAGAAAAAUGAAGACAUCAUUAAAACUAUCAGGAAGUCUGGAAACAAUAUAGCAAUUUUUAACCUAAUGGUGCUAAGAGAGUGACAUGAAUGUUCUUGAUCAUCCAGUCUUUGAUGGUGGAUGCAGGUCUUUUUAGUCCAUUUUAAUGGUCAAGAUUGGUUAGCUUCAAAAGAAAAAGAUUUGAGAUUUGCAAAAAAAAAUUGUUCACCAAUGACAUGUUUUUGAGACCCCUUUUUAUUGUAACCUUGACUAUUAAGUUGCCUGUGGCUUCAUUUUUAUAGAAAAUGAGUUUCAGCAGGUGGAACUGAAAAUUACUGUUAGGAAAGAAUGAUUUCCAAUGAGCAGCAAAACAUUGAACCUUUGCCUUGUGGAUUCUCAUUUAUUAAGUCAAAGAGAAAAGGAGUAUAAGAUAUAAAGUUUCAUGUGCAGACCUUCCCUCCUUAUGAAUUCUGUGUUGAAAUGAAUAACUGUAAAACCCCAGGGAUUUGGCCAACCUCUUCUCCUGUCUCCUGCCAACUUUGACCUGGUUUUCUACAAGACUUAAGAGAGACAGGGUCUCACCAUGUUUCCCAGGCUGGUUUCGAACUCCUGAACUCAAGUGAUCCACCCACCAAUGCCUCCCAAAGUGCUGGGAUUACAGGUGUGAACCACAGCACCCAGCCAGUUAGAACUUUUUUUGAUUUCUAUGCAUGGAAACCCAUCUUUAAAUAAUUUAGUCAGGCAAUGGGAAUUUAUUGGAGGUGGAUUCUCAUAACUGCGGGAAGAUGUGAAGUGCAGCUGGACUAUGAGGACAACUGAAUUGGGAACUUACAUUCUCUGCCAGUAGAAUUUCUCCCCAUCUCUCAUCUGCCACUCCAUGCUUCAUUCUCUUAAAAUGAUCUCUUUAACAGGUACAGAGACUGCACAGAAUCUCCCAGAAGACCUUAGUCAAUGCAGAAUUAAAUGGAAAAAUUCCACUUUUGUCAAAGGUGAAAAAUCUGGCUUUCCUUACAUGCAGAACCUCUAGAGACAUCAACAUGGUCUGUAUGAGCAACCUCAGCAAAAAAAAAAAAAAAGCCUCAUCUGAUAGACUGUCAGUCACAGAAAUAAUAAAGGAAAGAAAGAAGAGAGGAAGCU
Molecule: long non-coding RNA, 1442 nt
Filed under: Homo sapiens (human)
Lineage: Eukaryota; Metazoa; Chordata; Mammalia; Primates; Hominidae
Description: HSALNT0369876
Source: RNAcentral